CCUACGGGAGGCAGCAGUGGGGAAUAUUGCACAAUGGGGGAAACCCUGAUGCAGCGACGCCGCGUGAGUGAAGAAGGGUUUCGGCUCGUAAACUUCUAUCAACAGGGACGAAAGAAAUGACGGUACCUGAAUAAGAAGCCCCGGCUAACUACGUGCCAGCAGCCGCGGUAAUACGGAGGGGGCAAGCGUUAUCCGGAUUUACUGGGUGUAAAGGGAGCGUAGACGGCAGUGCAAGUCUGGAGUGAAAGGCGGGGGCUCAACCCCCGGACUGGUCUGGAAACUGUACGGCUGGAGGGCAGGAGAGGUAAGUGGAAUUCCUGGUGUAGCGGUGAAAUGCGUAGAUAUUAGGAGGAACACCAGUGGCGAAGGCGGCUUUCUGGACUGUAACUGACGUUGAGGCUCGAAAGCGUGGGGAGCAAACAGGAUUAGAUACCCGAGUAGUC
Molecule: ribosomal RNA, 443 nt
Filed under: uncultured bacterium
Lineage: Bacteria
Description: partial 16S ribosomal RNA
Rfam family: Bacterial small subunit ribosomal RNA
Source: RNAcentral